RNAcentral lists this ribosomal RNA (306 nucleotides) under uncultured bacterium. RNAcentral's name for it is "bacterial SSU rRNA". It matches the Rfam family "Bacterial small subunit ribosomal RNA", at positions 30 to 335 of the family's 1533-position model. The record is from RNAcentral.
AUUGAACGCUGGCGGCGUGCCUAACACAUGCAAGUCGAGCGGUAACAGGUGUAGCAAUACAUGCUGACGAGCGGCGGACGGGUGAGUAACGCUUGGGAAUCUGCCUGUUAGUGGGGACGAACCCGGGAAACGUCGGCGUAAUACGCAUACGCACUACGGUGGAAAGCCGGGGACCGGCAAGGCCUGGCGCUAACAGAUGAGCCCAACGUCGGAUUAGCUAGUUGGUAGGGUAACGGCCACCAAGGCGACGAUCCGUAACUGUCUGAGAGGACGACCAGUCACACCGGAACUGAGACACGGUCCGGA